CCUACGGGGGGCUGCAGUGGGGAAUAUUGGACAAUGGGCGAAAGCCUGAUCCAGCCAUGCCGCGUGAAGGAUGAAGGCCUUAGGGUUGUAAAGUUCUUUUGUCAGGGAAGAUAAUGACGGUACCUGAAGAAUAAGCACCGGCUAACUUCGUGCCAGCAGCCGCGGUAAUACGAAGGGUGCUAGCGUUGUUCGGAAUCACUGGGCGUAAAGCGCGCGUAGGCGGCGAUACAAGUCAGAGGUGAAAGCCUGGAGCUCAACUCCAGAACUGCCUUUGAAACUGUAUUGCUAGAGUGUCGGAGGGGAUAGCGGAAUUGCUAAUGUAGAGGUGAAAUUCGUAGAUAUUAGCAGGAACACCGGUGGCGAAGGCGGCUAUCUGGACGACAACUGACGCUGAGGCGCGAAAGCGUGGGGAUCAAACAGGAUUAGAUACCCCAGUAGUC
This 440-nucleotide ribosomal RNA is filed under the name uncultured Alphaproteobacteria bacterium. RNAcentral's name for it is "bacterial SSU rRNA". It matches the Rfam family "Bacterial small subunit ribosomal RNA", at positions 338 to 795 of the family's 1533-position model. Lineage: Bacteria; Pseudomonadati; Pseudomonadota; Alphaproteobacteria. The record is from RNAcentral.